AGAGUUUGAUCCUGGCUCAGGAUGAACGCUAGCUACAGGCUUAACACAUGCAAGUCGAGGGGAAACGAUAUUGGAAGCUUGCUUCCGAUAGGCGUCGACCGGCGUACGGGUGAGUAACGCGUAUCCAACCUGGCCCACCACUUGGGGAUAACCUUGCGAAAGUAAGACUAAUACCCAAUGACGUCUCUAGAAGGACAUCUGAAAGAGAUUAAAGAUUUAUCGGUGAUGGAUGGGGAUGCGUCUGAUUAGCUUGUUGGCGGGGUAACGGCCCACCAAGGCGACGAUCAGUAGGGGUUCUGAGAGGAAGGUCCCCCACAUUGGAACUGAGACACGGUCCAAACUCCUACGGGAGGCAGCA
Molecule: ribosomal RNA, 358 nt
Filed under: uncultured bacterium
Lineage: Bacteria
Description: bacterial SSU rRNA
Rfam family: Bacterial small subunit ribosomal RNA
Source: RNAcentral